Molecule: non-coding RNA, 1162 nt
Organism: Nicotiana tabacum (common tobacco)
Lineage: Eukaryota; Viridiplantae; Streptophyta; Magnoliopsida; Solanales; Solanaceae
Source: RefSeq, a predicted model, not a curated record
AAGCUCCAAAAAAGACGAAACUUUUCAAUCAAAGCUAAAAUAGGAGAAGAAGAUAAACCCUACCAUUCAAAUUCUCCAAAUAGGACACAAAGGGCAAAUCCCCAACAGAAGAAGAAAUCAGUACCUCUCAAUCAUAUUCGCAAAGGCAAUGGAAGUUCACUUUCAAGAGGAAAUACUUAUGGACAUCCUUAGCAGGUUAUCUGUGCAGUCUCUUCUUCGAUUCAAAUGUGUUUCGAAUUUUUGGAAAACAUUGAUCUCCGGGCCUUACUUUAAGAUGACGCAUCUCAAUCAUGCCAAGAAUGAUGAAAAUUCCCAAAAAUUUCUCAUUUGCCAGUUGUGCCCUGGGGAUGGUAUAUAUUCCGUAUGCUGUUGUCCAUUAACGUUGGUUCAACGGGUUGAGGAUGUACGAAAACUUGAUUGCCCUUCAGACUCUUAAUUGUGGUAUUGCUCAAUCUCUUGUUGUUAUGAUGGCUUGGUUAUUAUUGAGGUUUGUGAUAAUACUGUUGAUGAACACCACAUACUUGUGCUAUGGAACCCCUCGACAGGAGAAUCAAUAGUACUUCCUGAUCCAGAAUUUCCACCGAAGGGAGUUUCUUGUUUGGGAUUGGGUUAUGACUCAACUAGCGGUGACUAUAAGAUUCUUAAGGUUGACGAGAAGAAAGAGAAUGGUCGCAAAGUACUAGUGAAAUUCUUGCGCUGAAAAGUGGUUCGUGGAGAAAAAUUGAUAAACAUCCUCGUGACAUUCACAACGAGUUGUUUGGAGAUCCCGGAUAUAUAAAGUCGUACCAAAAUAUAGGUUUGCGGAUGGUGAAGUCCUAUUCUGGUGCAGGGGUUUUGACGGGCAGUCAGUUAGGACGUCCAGAGGACCAUUUGGAUUGAGGCCUCGAGCUAAUAGCUUUCAGAAUGGAUUCGCUUUUACAGAAAGUUUGAUCUCUCCAAAACUACUUACUUAGUAUUUGCUUUUAUAUGAUCGAAGACACUUUUCCUUUUUUCCGUUAUCAUGUUACAACCUCUUAUUCUUGUUAGUUUAUCUAUUACUCGCCAGUUUUUUGGUUUCAAAAUGUAUUUACCAAAGCUUUGAGCUUGCUUGUUUCAUUCCCCCCUCCUCCUCUCUCUUCUACUUAUUGAUAGUCUAGUCUUAUAUACUAAUUGCUUCGAGUAA